Long non-coding RNA from Talpa occidentalis (Iberian mole), 2275 nucleotides. RefSeq lists it as uncharacterized. The record is from RefSeq and is a predicted model, not a curated record. The transcript has 3 exons. NCBI's taxonomy places the organism in Eukaryota, Metazoa, Chordata, Mammalia, Eulipotyphla, Talpidae.
GGCAGGGUCCUGGGGGCCGCGCCCAGCGUGCCCUCCCCCCUCAACAGCAAGCUGACGCCACCUGUCCAGUGGCCCCUGCACACCCCACGACGAGUGUGGCGUCGUCCGGGCUGCUGAAAGUAUGGCCCCCCACGCUGAGCCCAGGGGUGCGGAGCCACGUCUUGCCGUAGCCAGGGACAGAACCGCGAGUCAGCGCGGAUGGGAAAGCUGAGGGCAGAGACAUGACGUCACCUGUCACCAGUCUGGGGCACCUGUCCAGUCACUUUUCAAACAGCACUUUCGCAUUUUCAAUUUUUGAUGAUGACGACAGCUAACAUCUGUGUGUCCAGUAUGGAUCAGCUGGUGUUAAUCUCUACGUUUCUGUCAUGAGCACUCACUGCCCUGCCCCUGGGUUGUGUAGUCUGGCAGCCUCAGGUGGCGACUUCAUGGCUGCGCAACGUGUCCUCCAGGUGAUCACCCCAAAAGUCCACCAUGACCGGCCUGUGCCCCCUCCCCCACUUCAGCCCCUCUGCUUCCCCUGCUCUCUGUGUCUAAGCCCCCACUGAGGGUUGUACACCCAUCCCGUGCUUUGUUCAUCGGCCCCACAGUGGGUAACCACACAAAGACCCAGCAGCCUCCCCAAGGGUGGACGACACGUGAUGGCCGCCUCCCAGCCACCACCGAUGGCACCACAAGGCUUGAACUUACAUGUGUCCCCGGCGGGCUGUGGGGAUUCUCAGGGAUGUAUAGCCAGGCAUGAACGCACUGAGUCACGGGGGGUGUGUGCACUUAAUUCAAUGGAGCAGCUCUGGAUCAUUCCUUGGGGUUUGGAGACACUGGAACAUUCUACUGUCAGCACUUCCCCGCAACACCUGACACCGUCAUCCUAAUUCUCUGCAGCCUGAUUGGUGCCAAGUGUGAUAUCUAAUCGUGGUUUUGUGGUUAUGUACGUCUUUGAUGACUUUGAGCACCCCUCGGAGGCACGCUAGCUGUGGGGCUCUGCACAGCCCACUCAUAUCCUUCGCUGCUCCCCACGAGAAUGGCAUUUUCAGGUUGAAGUCACGUUGCAUUAUGGCAUUAGACGUUUGUCUUCUACCUCAUUCGGAGGUGCUUCCUGCUUGUCCAGCCCGCAUGUCACGAAUGACUUCUCCAAGCCCAUCCCCCUGCUGACGGCUCACCGUGCUCCCCUGCUGACGGCUCGCUGUGCUCCCCUGUGAGCCCAGACUCUUCGCUUUGACAUAAUCAAACUAAGUGGUGUCUUGUCUGGUGUUGUAUGUUUUAGAAGUCUUACAAAGUCGUUCCCUGUCACAGAGAUUCCAAGAUCAUCUCCUUAAUUUUCUUCUAGUAGUUUCAUAAGUGCAUCUUCCAUGUAGCUGUGGUCUUUGGGAUGCCUGGAGUCCUCCAUGUGUGAUGCUGGAUGAGAGUCAAGGCCUAUUUCCUGGCACACUGAGCCGGUUAUCCUGGAGCCGCAGACUGAGUUCCCAUCUGCCCCCACCAAACUGAGGUGCUGUGAUAUCAUAUCUGACAAGUCCCCACGCACUGUAGAAUGUCCUGCUCAAAGCCCACCGAGCUCUUUCUGUGCUCUCGCUUCUGGCUCCCUGACCCAUUCAUCUGUUCUUGCUCCACUACUCCACUAUUUUUAACACGUUGAUUUGUUUUGCAGUCUGUCUAAUAUCUAGUAGGGCAAGAAGCUUAUUCUUGCACCACACAACGCUGCUCUUACUGUUUAGAUCACCGUACAGGAAACAGACUGAUCCUCUUUCCACCCGAAGUCAGAACUGGUUACACAGUUGGCCCCUCCUGAGUCUUCACUCACAUUUCCUGUCACCCCCGGCGGCCUCCAUGCUGGAAAAGGCUCAGCCACAUGCGGGAAGAGAAAGUGGAGACUGCCGGAAAACCCACACCAUGCCUUAGCUCAGCCCUCUGUUCCUAGAAACUCUGCCCGCCAUGAGUCCUUUGGACUGGCGGGUGCGAAACCAGCCUGGACACAGCGGUCUGGAGCUCUGAAUUCCAAGCCCGGGGUCGGGGUCGGAGUUGAGUCUGGUGCAGGGGCUCCAGGUUUCAAGUUUCCUAUUGUGAGGACUGAACCUUUCCCCCUGCUUGCUACUGUGGCUUGUUUGCAUUGGUGGUCUCUCCUUGCUAGAGAUAACGAGAGACCUCCUCCUCUGAACCCUAUAUAACAUUGUACACAUUCCUGAAUAAAUGAGACUGGCGAUGAUCCUGGCUUUGUCUCCACUCCUCGCGUACCCCUGUCCCAUACCAAGCCCCUGCUUCCUCCCCCGGGUACCCCGUUGAU